This 200-nucleotide ribosomal RNA is filed under the name uncultured bacterium. RNAcentral describes it as "partial 16S ribosomal RNA". It matches the Rfam family "Bacterial small subunit ribosomal RNA", at positions 29 to 239 of the family's 1533-position model. The record is from RNAcentral.
AAUGAACGUUGGCGGCGUGGAUUAGGCAUGCAAGUCGAACGGGCCGCAAGGCCAGUGGCGCAAGGGUGAGUAAGGCGACGGUAACCAACCCCAGGAUUGGGUAUAGCCGCGGGAAACCGCGGGUAAUCCCCAGCGACGCAACGGCACCGGCAUCGGUGCCUUGCCAAAGCUUCGGCGUCCGUGGGACGGGCUGUCGUGGU